This 1305-nucleotide ribosomal RNA is filed under the name uncultured bacterium. RNAcentral's name for it is "bacterial SSU rRNA". It matches the Rfam family "Bacterial small subunit ribosomal RNA", at positions 75 to 1380 of the family's 1533-position model. The record is from RNAcentral.
AGCAAUACAGAUGGUGGCGACCGGCGCACGGGUGAGUAACACGUAUGCAACCUACCUUCCACUGGAGAAUAACCCGUUGAAAGACGGGCUAAUACUCCAUAAUACAGGGGUCCCGCAUGGGAAUAUUUGUUAAAGAAUUUUCGGUAGAAGAUGGGCAUGCGUUCCAUUAGCUAGUUGGUUGAGGUAACGGCUCACCAAGGCAACGAUGGAUAGGGGAACUGAGAGGUUUAUCCCCCACACUGGUACUGAGACACGGACCAGACUCCUACGGGAGGCAGCAGUGAGGAAUAUUGGUCAAUGGAGGCAACUCUGAACCAGCCACGUCGCGUGAAGGAUGACGGCCCUAUGGGUUGUAAACUUCUUUUAUACAGGAAUAAAGUGAGCCACGAGUGGUUUUUUGCAUGUACUGUAUGAAUAAGGAUCGGCUAACUCCGUGCCAGCAGCCGCGGUAAUACGGAGGAUCCAAGCGUUAUCCGGAUUUAUUGGGUUUAAAGGGUGCGCAGGCGGAAGAUUAAGUCGGCGGUGAAAUUUUGCAGCUCAACUGUAAAAGUGCCAACGAUACUGGUUUUCUUGAGUGUGGAUGAAGUAGGCGGAAUUUGUGGUGUAGCGGUGAAAUGCAUAGAUAUCACGAGGAACUCCGAUUGCGCAGGCAGCUUACUAGGCCAUAACUGACGCUCAGGCACGAAGGCGUGGGGGAUCAAACAGGAUUAGAUACCCUGGUAGUCCACGCUGUAAACGAUGGAUGCUAGCCGUCAGCAAGCAUGCUUGUUGGUGGCGCAGUAACGCAUUAAGCAUCCCGCCUGGGGAGUACGGCCGCAAGGUUAAAACUCAAAGGAAUUGACGGGGGCCGCACAAGCGGUGGAGCAUGUGGUUUAAUUCGACGCAACGCGAAGAACCUUACCAGCCCUUGACAUGCCCGGACGGUUUCCAGAGAUGGAUUCCUCCUAGCAAUAGGUCGGGACACAGGUGCUGCAUGGCUGUCGUCAGCUCGUGUCGUGAGAUGUUGGGUUAAGUCCCGCAACGAGCGCAACCCUCGCCAUUAGUUGCCCUUAUUAAGUUAGGCACUCUAGUGGGACUGCCGGUGAUAAGCCGGAGGAAGGUGGGGAUGACGUCAAGUCAUCAUGGCCUUACGGGCUGGGCUACACACGUGCUACAAUGGCGGUGACAGUGGGCAGCCACCCAGCGAUGGGCAGCUAAUCCCAAAAAGCCGUCUCAGUUCGGAUUGGAGUCUGCAACUCGACUCCAUGAAGUCGGAAUCGCUAGUAAUCGCAGAUCAGCACGCUGCGGUGAAUACGUUCCCGGGCC